CCGACCUUAGCUCAGUUGGUAGAGCGGAGGACUGUAGUGGGCUAAUUACCUGUAAGCCAUCCUUAGGUCGCUGGUUCGAAUCCGGCAGGUCGGA
Ricinus communis (castor bean) is the source of this 94-nucleotide non-coding RNA. NCBI's taxonomy places the organism in Eukaryota, Viridiplantae, Streptophyta, Magnoliopsida, Malpighiales, Euphorbiaceae. The record is from Rfam.